Molecule: unclassified non-coding RNA, 396 nt
Filed under: Hevea brasiliensis (rubber tree)
Lineage: Eukaryota; Viridiplantae; Streptophyta; Magnoliopsida; Malpighiales; Euphorbiaceae
Source: RNAcentral
GCAAGAGGACCCUGCACCACAAAAAUAAGGCUAACUUUUUAUAAAUGCCACUAAUAAGAGAUACUUGAAUAAUUAAAAAAAGCCCUAAUUUUCUAUCUCCGUGCAGUUUGAACACCAUUUUAUUCUGAUAAUCAUAGCAGUUUCGAUUGAAAAUUUUAAUGGCCAACUACAGUGAACAUUGUAUCUCACAAUCAUUCUCUCAGAAAAGUUUGUGUACUAAAAGAAGAUGUGAAAGAAGAAAAGAAACAGAGAAAAGCAGGCAUGGAAGGAAAUGACAGAAUCAAUAGAGUCAAAAUCAAAUCUUGAACUUGCGCAUACACGUAGAAAAUGUCCAAGAAAAAACCUGAAAGAACUCGGUGAAUAAAAGUAUCACCUGAAAAGCAAGAAGAGAUCUUU